RNAcentral lists this ribosomal RNA (498 nucleotides) under uncultured bacterium. Its description in RNAcentral is "partial 16S ribosomal RNA". It matches the Rfam family "Bacterial small subunit ribosomal RNA", at positions 28 to 523 of the family's 1533-position model. The record is from RNAcentral.
GACGAACGCUGGCGGCGCGCCUAACACAUGCAAGUCGAGCGGAGAUACUUGAAGGAAGUUUUCGGAUGGAAUUUGAGUAUUUUAGCGGCGGACGGGUGAGUAACGCGUGAGUGACCUGCCUUCCACAGGGGGAUAACGUACCGAAAGGUACACUAAUACCGCAUGAGACCCCAGCACUGCCUGGUUCAGGGGUCAAAGGAGCAAUCCGGUGGAAGAUGGACUAGCGUCCGAUUAGAUAGUUGGUGGGGUAACGGCCUACCAAGUCAGCGAUCGGUAGCCGAACUGAGAGGGUGAUCGGCCACAUUGGAACUGAGAGACGGUCCAAACUCCUACGGGAGGCAGCAGUGGGGAAUAUUGGGCAAUGGGGGAAACCCUGACCCAGCGACGCCGCGUGAGGGAAGAAGGUUUUCGGAUUGUAAACCUCUGUUCUUGGUGAAGAGGGAAAGACGGUAGCCAAGGAGGAAGCCCCGGCUAACUACGUGCCAGCCGCCGCCGUAA